Molecule: long non-coding RNA, 194 nt
Organism: Gadus macrocephalus (Pacific cod)
Lineage: Eukaryota; Metazoa; Chordata; Actinopteri; Gadiformes; Gadidae
Exons: 3
Source: RefSeq, a predicted model, not a curated record
GUAGGUAGGUAGCUGGAGAGAGAGGUAGGUAGGUGGAGAGAGAGAGGUAGGUAUGUAGAGGGAGAGAGGUAGGUAGGUAGAGAGAGAGAGAGAGAGAGAGAGAGAGAGAGAGAGGUAGGUAGGUAGCUAGAGAGAGGUAGGUAGCUAGAGAGGUAGGUAGCUAGAGAGAGAGAGAGGUAGGUAGGUAGAGAGAG